Molecule: transfer RNA, 76 nt
Filed under: Alphaproteobacteria bacterium
Lineage: Bacteria; Pseudomonadati; Pseudomonadota; Alphaproteobacteria
Description: tRNA-Ala
Rfam family: tRNA
About the family: Transfer RNA (tRNA) molecules are approximately 80 nucleotides in length.
Source: RNAcentral
GGGGCCAUAGCUCAGUUGGUAGAGCGCUUGCAUGGCAUGCAAGAGGUCGUCGGUUCGAGACCGAUUGGCUCCACCA